CUUGCAUGAUAUGACUUGCCAAAUGCCACAUUAAGAGGCCAAAAGAUUUUCGUAACUUGAUGAUCCAAUUAAGGUUUGCACUAUAACAGUUGCUAUGUGCCCAGAUUCAUUGGAACACUAUUUGAAUACAAGCGGUAUCGCCGCCUCCAGUUGCAUUAACAAUGACAAUGGUUUAAACUUUAUUGAAAUGCGAGUGCAACCACACUUUUUCUUUGGAUUCAUAACAUAGUUCCUGUUACUGUGUCUUUUGAACAGCUAUUUUCCACAUAAUGUUAAGACAAACAGUUAGCAUUAAUAUUGUUA
Non-coding RNA from Pelobates cultripes (western spadefoot toad), 303 nucleotides. The record is from the annotation of a GenBank genome assembly. Lineage: Eukaryota; Metazoa; Chordata; Amphibia; Anura; Pelobatidae.